GGCUGCUUGUCGUGAUUGGUUGGACACUCUCUUCGUCUAAGGUCUUAGCUUGGUCACUCUAUUAAGCUUUCCCAGCAAGUCUAUUGAAUGGGGUACGAAAGAUUGCUAUUCAAAGCAUCGUUAAGAGUUCUGUCUUCUAGGGAGUAGUCAAGAUAAGAUGACUCUGAUCUUUCCUUCUAUGGAGCCGGAUGUGAGCUUAUCGCCUACUGAUCUUACUCAAAAAGAGUCAAUGGGAGUAGACACAUCAAUAGCAGCAGACGCAGAGGAAGAAAUCCUUGCUCUUCGGGCUAAGAUGCUGACUUUGCCGUGGAAAGAGUAAUGAGAGGAAAGCCUUGACCUUCCCUUGUUCUACCCUUCGAACU
This 362-nucleotide long non-coding RNA is filed under the name Nicotiana benthamiana. RNAcentral describes it as "long non-coding RNA (NBEN_LNC042562)". Lineage: Eukaryota; Viridiplantae; Streptophyta; Magnoliopsida; Solanales; Solanaceae. The record is from RNAcentral.